This is a small nuclear RNA of Nannospalax galili (Upper Galilee mountains blind mole rat), 103 nucleotides long. Lineage: Eukaryota; Metazoa; Chordata; Mammalia; Rodentia; Spalacidae. The record is from Ensembl.
GUGCUUGCUUCAGCAGCACAUAUACUAAAUUGGAACAAUACGGAGAUUACCGUGGCCCCUGGGCAAGGAUGACAUGCAAAUUUGUGAAGCGUUCUAUAUUUUU